GGAUGGCCGAGCGGUCUAAGGCGCUGCGUUCAGGUCGCAGUCUCCCCUGGAGGCGUGGGUUCGAAUCCCACUUCUGACAAGCGCUCUUUUCCGGUAUUUCAGAAGAGAAAUCUUCGACGACCGCACACCAAGAGAGGCCCUCAAACACAGAGGACCGUACGUUUUACACACAAUCCAAAGUCUAAAUGAAUGUCUGUGGGGAAGAAAAAGUCUGACAGGACGUGGUCGUGUGAUUCUGAACUCCCAACUUCGGAGGAGGUUGAGGCGGGAGGAUGUCGCCACCACACUCCAGCUUAGGCGACAGAGCGAGA
RNAcentral lists this long non-coding RNA (311 nucleotides) under Homo sapiens (human). RNAcentral describes it as "HSALNT0231814". The stretch from base 1 to 79 matches the Rfam family "tRNA". The record is from RNAcentral. Lineage: Eukaryota; Metazoa; Chordata; Mammalia; Primates; Hominidae.